UGCUUAACACAUGCAAGUCGAACGAGAAGCUGCUUAAUGACCCUUCGGGUGAUUUAAACAGUGGAAAGUGGCGAACGGGUGAGUAACGCGUGGGUAACCUGCCCUAUGGAAAGGAAUAGCCUCGGGAAACUGGGAGUAAAGCCUUAUAUUAUGUAGUUGUCGCAUGGCAAUGACAUGAAAACUCCGGUGCCAUAGGAUGGACCCGCGUCCCAUUAGCUAGUUGGUGAGAUAACAGCCCACCAAGGCAACGAUGGGUAACCGGUCUGAGAGGGCGAACGGUCACACUGGAACUGAGACACGGUCCAGACUCCUACGGGAGGCAGCAGUGGGGAAUAUUGCGCAAUGGGGGAAACCCUGACGCAGCAAUACCGCGUGAGUGAAGAAGGUUUUCGGAUCGUAAAGCUC
Molecule: ribosomal RNA, 405 nt
Filed under: uncultured organism
Description: bacterial SSU rRNA
Rfam family: Bacterial small subunit ribosomal RNA
Source: RNAcentral